UUGCGCCAUCGUUCAAAACUGUGAUCGUUUUUAUAGCCUGACGCCAUUUUUUUUUAGCAAUUAUAAUCAAAUGCAUGUAAUUGCAUAACCUUCAGGCUUUCUUUAUAGUAUAAUCCAGUUCUAACGCCUGAGGGAUAUCCGGAUUAAGAUCGCUAAUCACUUGUACCUGAGCUUGUACAGGUAGAUCAACAAAGCAGACAGGAUAAUAUUAUCUGAAGAUAGACAAUUCAUUUGUCGAAUUAUUUAAUUAAGUUUCCGCAAAUGCUUAUGAUAAUUCAGAUUAAAUAAAUAAAUUAAUAGUCCAGUUACAAAGUUUAACAAGUAAAACACGUGCUUUUAUUUUGACUUACGCAAUCAGCAUCCCCCUUUUUAAGAAGUACAAAAUAAGACGUAAAACAGUAAUUAUUAUUUCAUCGCAAAUAACUCGAGUACAGCUGUAUUGUAACGAUAAUAUAGAAUUACUUUAAAAGUUAAAAAGUAAAAACUUUUAAUAUUUCCUGUAAAUAAAUAUCGUAUCGUAAUUCCGAAUUCAUUUCGUAGUUUACAAUCAAAUUGAUACAUCCGCGUUUCCGGUUUCUAUUCAGACUCGAAAGAUGCAUGUUGCAUAUAGCAUCGAUUUGCUAGUUAAAGUCAUUAACAACCUUUUCAUUUGACAACGUUCGCUUUACAAAUCUUUUUAACCUUUU
Molecule: long non-coding RNA, 686 nt
Filed under: Mytilus galloprovincialis (Mediterranean mussel)
Lineage: Eukaryota; Metazoa; Mollusca; Bivalvia; Mytilida; Mytilidae
Source: RNAcentral